This is a long non-coding RNA of Amphimedon queenslandica, 215 nucleotides long. RefSeq lists it as uncharacterized. The transcript has 3 exons. Lineage: Eukaryota; Metazoa; Porifera; Demospongiae; Haplosclerida; Niphatidae. The record is from RefSeq and is a predicted model, not a curated record.
AUUAUUAUUAUUAUCAUUUCUAUAGAUUAUUGGUAUUAAUCCGUCAUAUCUUAAACUAUCAAGAGGAAAUGUUUCUGUUUAUGUUCAGUUAUCGUCAGAGGGCGGAGUCUCAUUCUGUGGUGUUAGUUGUGACAAAGAAGGAAUUCCUUCCAUUGACACACAAACCACACUAAUAAGAAUUAUUACAAGUAAUGAUAAUAAUAAUAAUAAUAAUA